Molecule: unclassified non-coding RNA, 383 nt
Filed under: uncultured bacterium
Lineage: Bacteria
Description: contains 16S-23S intergenic spacer region
Source: RNAcentral
UCCUGGUUUCCCAGGCAGUCCCAUCAGAGUGCUCCGAUUAAAGUAGCAACUGACAGCAGGGGUUGCGCUCGUUAGAGGACUUAACCCAACAUCUCACGACACGAGCUGACGACAGCCAUGCAGCACCUGUGCAUCUGUCUAGACCGAAGCCUAAAAAUUCAUGUUUCCAUGAUUGUCAAAUACAUGUCAAGCCCAGGUAAGGUUCCUCGCGUAGUGACGAAUUAAACCACAUGUUCCACCGCUUGUGCGGACCCCCGUCAAUUCAUUUGAGUUUUAAUCUUGCGACCGUACUCCCCAGGCGAAUCACUUAACGCGUUAGCUUCGAUACUAAUUCGGCUAGGCCAAACUAACAUCUAGUGAUUAUCGUUUACAGCGUGGACUAC